Molecule: unclassified non-coding RNA, 429 nt
Filed under: Ceratitis capitata (Mediterranean fruit fly)
Lineage: Eukaryota; Metazoa; Arthropoda; Insecta; Diptera; Tephritidae
Description: uncharacterized LOC101460275, transcript variant X1
Source: RNAcentral
AUACAAAAUUUAAAUCAAUUAGUCUACACGUCACUUAAAGCUUAUUCAAUUUAUUUGGUAUUUUUUAUUGGUCGGUAUUUUGUUACGCACAUACGUGUAUACAUGAACGUUUAUCACCUCAAGUGACAAAUAUUUUUGCUAUAGAUGACUUUCGUGAACACUUAGCCCAGCAAUGUUUGAGGGUAUGUCAAGGAUGGGCUCCAUCAAAGAGAAAGUACACAUGUUCUACAUCUUUUUUUCGGAAAAGAUAAAGACACAAGUCUGCAGUUGUGAAUAAUGUUUAUAGUUCUGAUACUGAAACAGUCAAUCAUUCCCAAUUUUGAUUUCGUCGAUAUCGUUCUGAUACUCACCUCUCACACCGCCAACUACAAAUUGGUUUCCCGUCAAAGGUGUUACCAUUGCUGAUGGCUCAUCGCACUGCAAUCAAUU